Molecule: ribosomal RNA, 468 nt
Filed under: uncultured bacterium
Lineage: Bacteria
Description: partial 16S ribosomal RNA
Rfam family: Bacterial small subunit ribosomal RNA
Source: RNAcentral
GACGAACGCUGGCGGCGUGCUUAACACAUGCAAGUCGAACGGAAAGGCCCUGCUUUUGUGGGGUGCUCGAGUGGCGAACGGGUGAGUAACACGUGAGUAACCUGCCCUUGACCUUGGGAUAACUUCAGGAAACUGGGGCUAAUACCGGAUAGGAGCUCCUGCUGCAUGGUGGGGGUUGGAAAGUUUCGGCGGUUGGGGAUGGACUCGCGGCUUAUCAGCUUGUUGGUGGGGUAGUGGCUUACCAAGGCUUUGACGGGUAGCCGGCCUGAGAGGGUGACCGGCCACAUUGGGACUGAGAUACGGCCCAGACUCCUACGGGAGGCAGCAGUGGGGAAUAUUGCACAAUGGGCGGAAGCCUGAUGCAGCAACGCCGCGUGCGGGAUGACGGCCUUCGGGUUGUAAACCGCUUUCGCCUGUGACGAAGCGUGAGUGACGGUAAUGAGUAAAGAAGCACCGGCUAACUACGUG